CUUAACUAACCCUGUGUAUGUGGAAGAAUGUGCCUUACUAAGCCCCUGCUGUAAAUCAUAGACCUAUGUCAUUGUAGAAGGUAUAUUAGAUUAUGGAAAAUAAACCUCGGGGCCUUGGGCUGUUUGCUCGGGGUCCCCUCUGUGUCGCUAUACUGUCGUCUCUUUUUCUCAGUUCCUUCGCCACCCCAGGUCCCGGACUCUCAGAGGUCGACAAGUGGUGCCCAAACAGGGACCUGAAGCCCCCGUCAAGGAGUGAUCGGCCAGCGAUAGGAACCUUACAGAAGGUGAUGGAUCCAGUCUAGCAAUUUGGAUACCUCUUCAGAAAGUCCGGCCCAGGACUGGCAAUAGAGACAACAGAAGAGGUCUCUCAGCUGCUGCAGGGAUUGACUACCCAACCCCCUGUCUGAGAGAUGGCAACAUUCUCCUUGAAGAGACCUCGAAAACAAAAAUUGUCCCCGACAACACCCCCAACUUGGGGGCAACUGAAGACCUUCACUCAGAGGGUGGAGCGAGUCCUGGAGAUGACCAGAUCUACCAAAAUCCCUGAACAUUUGUUCCUGGCUAUGUUAGCAGUGGUGACAUGUGCCUCUGCGGUAGGUGAAAAACAUGCCUACUUGGGCAUAUGUACCCCAUCCUCCCUUGUUGCAUCUAGUUGAAUGGACAGAAUAUGGACCUACUGUUUUUACAAAUGACUCUACUUAUCUCCCAGCACCUUGGUCCUCUGUACCCCCAUCUAAACCAGAAGAAGAAAGGACUCUUAUGAAUAUCUCUUUAGGAUUUGAAACAUUACCCUUAUGCUUGGGACAGAAAAAAAUAUGUCUUCCCCUUCACUGACAAACUUGGGCCCAUAUCCUUCCCCCGACCAAAUCAUACAGAACCUUGAUGGGAAUAAUGACCACUUUAUCAUUUAAUUUUAGUGAGGUCAACACAACUAGCACACUGGGAAAAUUUGAUGAUCCUGUCUGUACUACAAUCUUCUAUAAACAUUAUGUUUUUGAGCCUAUAUACUGGUCCCACUGCAGGGGACCCCAUGGAAAAAUCCUUAUGUUAAAUAAUAGAAUGGUGGCAGAUUGGGGCCCACAUGGGAAGUUUUUAAAUAACUGUUCUGAGGAUGUGAAUAGCACCAUAUGUGAUUACAUUACUAAUAUUAGGUGGAAUCACACUGACCAUGGUACUUAUACCCAUCAUCAUACUAAAGGGUUAAUGACAUGGCAUGAAGGAGGACUGGCACCUCCUUGGCCUCAUUUGGUAACUGAUAAAGACCAUGUGGGGCCAGAACACUGGGAUCUUUGGAAGCUCCCAGCUGCACUGGCAUCCUUAUAUUUUUAUGCAGGAAAUUUCUCAGGGACAUCUCAGUCUUCGAGUGAUUAUUGGUUUACUUACAAUUCUUUGAUAUCCAUACAAGCCUGUGUUCAUUUACCUUAUCUCAUCGCAAUAGGAGAAAUAGAAGUUAACUAUAUUAUGAGGAACAUUGAUUGUCCCAACUGCCGGUUGUAUACUUGUUUUAAUCAUUACCAUCUCUUUCAACAGCAGUAUGGAUUCCAUCCUUCUUCUCCAGGACCAUAUGGGGGUCUGGAUCCCGGUAAAUCUCACAAUAAGUGGGGAAGAAAACCCUGUUGAAGGUCUCUUGUCAAAAAUGUUGAGAUACUGUGCUCUCAAAAAACGAGUGAGUGCUCAAAACCUCCAUCACAGAGUGCUAUGGCAGUGGCUGUUUUGAAAAAAGAAAGGGGGAGCUGUGGGAAACAGAAUGCCACAAUGACCACUGAAGAAUGUUUGUUCAGACUCCGAGAUCUCUGAGAAAAUUCGAGAUUGCAGGGUUAAAAAUAACCCUAAAGGAUCAGAGUGAAAUGCCCUUGGGAUGUGUGUGGUCUGUUCUAAAGUACAGAGCAGAAGAUGUUUUAUAGAUAGGAAGCCAGCUGUAAACAGCACACUGUGCAUUCCUUUCUUUGUUCUCUUAUCCUGUGUUAAGGUCUGAGUACAAUGGUGUUUACAAUUAAUUGAUCACAGCCAGUUACAAAUUUCUUUACUCCUUCUCCAUUCCCACUGCUUCACUUAACUAACCCUGUGUACGUGGAAGAAUGUGCCUUACUAAGCCCCUGCUAUAAAUCAUUAUAGACCUAUGUCAUUGUAGAAGGUAUAUUAGACUAUGGAAAAUAAACCUCGGGGCCUUGGGCUGUUUGCUCGGGGUCCCCUGU
RNA transcript from Zalophus californianus (California sea lion), 2195 nucleotides. It is a transcript of the gene named periphilin-1-like, with no coding region annotated. The record is from RefSeq and is a predicted model, not a curated record. The transcript is spliced from 3 exons. Lineage: Eukaryota; Metazoa; Chordata; Mammalia; Carnivora; Otariidae.